UACGGGGGGGGGCAAGCGUUUGUUCGGAAUUACUGGGCGUAAAGGGCUCGUAGGCGGCCAACUAAGUCGGAUGUGAAAUCCCCAGGCUUAACCUGGGAACUGCGUCGGAUACUGGAUGGCUUGAAUUCGGGAGAGGGAUGCAGAAUUCCAGGUGUAGCGGUGAAAUGCGUAGAUAUCGAGAGGAACACCUGCGGCGAAGGCGGGUUGCUGGGCUGAUACUGACGCUGAGACGCGAAAGCGUGGGGAGCAAACAGG
This 255-nucleotide ribosomal RNA is filed under the name uncultured bacterium. Its description in RNAcentral is "partial 16S ribosomal RNA". It matches the Rfam family "Bacterial small subunit ribosomal RNA", at positions 524 to 776 of the family's 1533-position model. The record is from RNAcentral.